CGGAAGCCUGAUGCAGCAACGCCGCGUGAGGGAUGACGGCCUUCGGGUUGUAAACCUCUUUUAGCAGGGAAGAAGCGAAAGUGACGGUACCUGCAGAAAAAGCGCCGGCUAACUACGUGCCAGCAGCCGCGGUAAUACGUAGGGCGCAAGCGUUAUCCGGAAUUAUUGGGCGUAAAGAGCUCGUAGGCGGUUUGUCGCGUCUGCUGUGAAAUCCGGAGGCUCAACCUCCGGCCUGCAGUGGGUACGGGCAGACUAGAGUGCGGUAGGGGAGAUUGGAAUUCCUGGUGUAGCGGUGGAAUGCGCAGAUAUCAGGAGGAACACCGAUGGCGAAGGCAGAUCUCUGGGCCGUAACUGACGCUGAGGAGCGAAAGGGUGGGGAGCAAACAGGCUUAGAUACCCUGGUAGUCCACCCCGUAAACGUUGGGAACUAGUUGUGGGGUCCAUUCCACGGAUUCCGUGACGCAGCUAACGCAUUAAGUUCCCCGCCUGGGGAGUACGGCCGCAAGGCUAAAACUCAAAGGAAUUGACGGGGACCCGCACAAGCGGCGGAGCAUGCGGAUUAAUUCGAUGCAACGCGAAGAACCUUACCAAGGCUUGACAUAUACGAGAACGGGCCAGAAAUGGUCAACUCUUUGGACACUCGUAAACAGGUGGUGCAUGGUUGUCGUCAGCUCAUGUCGUGAGAUGUUGGGUUAAGUCCCGCAACGAGCGCAACCCUCGUUCUAUGUUGCCAGCACGUAAUGGUGGGAACUCAUGGGAUACUGCCGGGGUCAACUCGGAGGAAGGUGGGGAUGACGUCAAAUCAUCAUGCCCCUUAUGUCUUGGGCUUCACGCAUGCUACAAUGGCCGGUACAAAGGGCUGCAAUACCGCGAGGUGGAGCGAAU
Molecule: ribosomal RNA, 885 nt
Filed under: uncultured bacterium
Lineage: Bacteria
Description: bacterial SSU rRNA
Rfam family: Bacterial small subunit ribosomal RNA
Source: RNAcentral